AUUGUUAGUGGCAGACGGGUGAGUAAUGCGUAGGAAUCUACCUAGUAGUACGGAAUAGCCAUUAGAAAUGAUGGGUAAUACUGUAUAAUCCCCGAGGGGGAAAGAUUUAUCGCUAUUAGAUGAGCCUACGUUAGAUUAGCUAGUUGGUAAGGUAAUGGCUUACCAAGGCUAUGAUCUAUAGCUGGUCUGAGAGGACGAUCAGCCACACUGGAACUGAGAUACGGUCCAGACUCCUACGGGAGGCAGCAGUGGGGAAUAUUGGACAAUGGGCGAAAGCCUGAUCCAGCUAUGCCGCGUGAGUGAAGAAGGCCUUCGGGUUGUAAAACUCUUUCAGUAGGGAAGAUAAUGACGGUACCUAUA
RNAcentral lists this ribosomal RNA (360 nucleotides) under Ehrlichia sp. RNAcentral's name for it is "bacterial SSU rRNA". It matches the Rfam family "Bacterial small subunit ribosomal RNA", at positions 88 to 483 of the family's 1533-position model. The record is from RNAcentral. Lineage: Bacteria; Pseudomonadati; Pseudomonadota; Alphaproteobacteria; Rickettsiales; Anaplasmataceae.